Molecule: ribosomal RNA, 498 nt
Filed under: uncultured bacterium
Lineage: Bacteria
Description: bacterial SSU rRNA
Rfam family: Bacterial small subunit ribosomal RNA
Source: RNAcentral
GACGAACGCUGGCGGCGUGGAUUAGGCAUGCAAGUCGAACGGUAUCAUCCUUUCGGGGGUGAGAGAGUGGCGAACUGGUGAGUAACACGUAGGUUAUCUACCCUCAAGACGGGGACAACCCAGGGAAACUUGGGCUAAUACCGGAUGUGAGCAACUUUUAGUUGUUUGAAAGGUGGCGUAAGCUGUCGCUUGGGGAUGAGCCUGCGUCCUAUUAGUUAGUUGGUGAGGUAACGGCUCACCUAGGCAAUGAUAGGUAGGCGGCCUUAACGGGUGUCGCCCACACUGGGAUUGAGAUACGGCCCAGACUCCUACGGGAGGCAGCAGUCGAGAAUAGUCUACAAUGGUCGGAAGACUGAUAGUGCGACGCCGCGUGAACGAUGAAUCCCUUCGGGGUGUAAAGUUCUUUUAUAUGUGAGCAGUGCUUCUUAUAUUAACAGUAUGGGGAAGAGAUAUUAGCAUAUGAAUAAGCAACGGCUAACUCCGUGCCAGCAGCCGGGU